CGGAAGCGUAUUUUUAUAUUGUUGCUGCUAAAAAGCUCGUAGUUGAAACUCAAGAGGUUCCUCAUUUGACACUAAACAGUGUCAAUUUGGUGGCCCUCUUUUCUCGAGGUUACUCACCACUUUUCUUAAUUGCAGAGUGGGCGAAAGCACGAGUUCCUUGUUAUUCACUCUGAGAAAACAAGAUUGCUCAAGGAAGGCUUUUAGCUUGAAUUUUGCAGCAGAGGAUGAUGGAAAACGCUUAUUGGCGUUGAGUUGAUAGAUGCCAAUUUGAAUGAUGAAUGGGAGUUUCUGGCGUGGAUCCUACAGGUGUGGGGAGAGGUGAAAUUUGAUGAUCCCACUUUGAGGAACAAAUGCGAAGGCAGUCCACGAAGGAGUAUCCGGGGGUCAAU
RNAcentral lists this ribosomal RNA (389 nucleotides) under uncultured eukaryote. RNAcentral describes it as "bacterial SSU rRNA". It matches the Rfam family "Eukaryotic small subunit ribosomal RNA", at positions 592 to 981 of the family's 1831-position model. The record is from RNAcentral.